RNAcentral lists this ribosomal RNA (506 nucleotides) under uncultured bacterium. RNAcentral describes it as "partial 16S ribosomal RNA". It matches the Rfam family "Bacterial small subunit ribosomal RNA", at positions 28 to 523 of the family's 1533-position model. The record is from RNAcentral.
GAUGAACGCUAGCUACAGGCUUAACACAUGCAAGUCGAGGGGUAACGAGAGGAAAGCUUGCUUUCCUUGUCGACGACCGGCGCACGGGUGAGUAACGCGUAUCCAACCUGCCCCCAACUAGGGAAUAACCUUGCGAAAGUAAGACUAAUACCCUAUAAUUUCCUCAGAUGACAUCUGACGAGGAAUAAAGAUUUAUCGGUUGUGGAUGGGGAUGCGUCUGAUUAGCUUGUUGGCGGGGUAACGGCCCACCAAGGCAACGAUCAGUAGGGGUUCUGAGAGGAAGGUCCCCCACAUUGGAACUGAGACACGGUCCAAACUCCUAUGGGAGGCAGCAGUGAGGAAUAUUGGUCAAUGGGCGGAAGCCUGAACCAGCCAAGUAGCGUGCAGGAUGACGGCCCUAUGGGUUGUAAACUGCUUUUAUACAGGAAUAAAGUUAGCCACGUGUGGUUAUUUGUAGGUACUGUAUGAAUAAGGACCGGCUAAUUCCGUGCCAGCAGCCGCUUAGA